This 468-nucleotide ribosomal RNA is filed under the name uncultured bacterium. RNAcentral's name for it is "partial 16S ribosomal RNA". It matches the Rfam family "Bacterial small subunit ribosomal RNA", at positions 28 to 507 of the family's 1533-position model. The record is from RNAcentral.
GACGAACGCUGGCGGCGUGCUUAACACAUGCAAGUCGAACGGAAAGGCCCUGCUUUUGUGGGGUGCUCGAGUGGCGAACGGGUGAGUAACACGUGAGUAACCUGCCCUUGACUUUGGGAUAACUUCAGGAAACUGGGGCUAAUACCGGAUAGGAGCUCCUGCUGCAUGGUGGGGGUUGGAAAGUUUCGGCGGUUGGGGAUGGACUCGCGGCUUAUCAGCUUGUUGGUGGGGUAGUGGCUUACCAAGGCUUUGCCGGGUAGCCGGCCUGAGAGGGUGACCGGCCACAUUGGGACUGAGAGACGGCCCAGACUCCUACGGGAGGCAGCAGUGGAGAAUAUUGCACAAUGGGCGGAAGCCUGAUGCAGCAACGCCGCGUGCGGGAUGACGGCCUUCGGGUUGUAAACCGCUUUCGCCUGUGACGAAGCGUGAGUGACGGUAAUGGGUAAAGAAGCACCGGCUAACUACGUG